RNAcentral lists this ribosomal RNA (879 nucleotides) under uncultured bacterium. Its description in RNAcentral is "bacterial SSU rRNA". It matches the Rfam family "Bacterial small subunit ribosomal RNA", at positions 8 to 916 of the family's 1533-position model. The record is from RNAcentral.
AGAGUUUGAUCAUGGCUCAGGAUGAACGCUGGCGGCGUGCCUAACACAUGCAAGUCGAGCGAUUCUCUUCGGAGGAGAGCGGCGGACGGGUGAGUAACGCGUGGGUAACCUGCCCUGUACACACGGAUAACAUACCGAAAGGUAUGCUAAUACGAGAUAAUAUGCUUUUAUCGCAUGGUAGAAGUAUCAAAGCUUUUGCGGUACAGGAUGGACCCGCGUCUGAUUAGCUAGUUGGUAAGGUAACGGCUUACCAAGGCGACGAUCAGUAGCCGACCUGAGAGGGUGAUCGGCCACAUUGGAACUGAGACACGGUCCAAACUCCUACGGGAGGCAGCAGUGGGGAAUAUUGCACAAUGGGCGAAAGCCUGAUGCAGCAACGCCGCGUGAGCGAUGAAGGCCUUCGGGUCGUAAAGCUCUGUCCUCAAGGAAGAUAAUGGCGGUACUUGAGGAGGAAGCCCCGGCUAACUACGUGCCAGCAGCCGCGGUAAUACGUAGGGGGCUAGCGUUAUCCGGAAUUACUGGGCGUAAAGGGUGCGUAGGUGGUUUCUUAAGUCAGAGGUGAAAGGCUACGGCUCAACCGUAGUAAGCCUUUGAAACUGGGAAACUUGAGUGCAGGAGAGGAGAGUGGAAUUCCUAGUGUAGCGGUGAAAUGCGUAGAUAUUAGGAGGAACACCAGUUGCGAAGGCGGCUCUCUGGACUGUAACUGACACUGAGGCACGAAAGCGUGGGGAGCAAACAGGAUUAGAUACCCUGGUAGUCCACGCCGUAAACGAUGAGUACUAGCUGUCGGAGGUUACCCCCUUCGGUGGCGCAGCUAACGCAUUAAGUACUCCGCCUGGGAAGUACGCUCGCAAGAGUGAAACUCAAAGGAAUUGACGG